GCGGGUGUGGCGGAAUGGUAGACGCAGAGGAUUCAAAAUCCUCCGCCGCAAGGCGUGGGAGUUCGAGUCUCCCCACCCGCA
RNAcentral lists this transfer RNA (81 nucleotides) under Roseinatronobacter ekhonensis. RNAcentral describes it as "Rhodobacter sp. EL-50 tRNA". It matches the Rfam family "tRNA". Rfam says of the family: Transfer RNA (tRNA) molecules are approximately 80 nucleotides in length. The record is from Rfam by way of RNAcentral. Lineage: Bacteria; Pseudomonadati; Pseudomonadota; Alphaproteobacteria; Rhodobacterales; Paracoccaceae.